Molecule: RNA transcript, 8382 nt
Organism: Notothenia coriiceps (black rockcod)
Lineage: Eukaryota; Metazoa; Chordata; Actinopteri; Perciformes; Nototheniidae
Gene: mpripa
Gene name: myosin phosphatase Rho interacting protein
Exons: 19
Source: RefSeq, a predicted model, not a curated record
AGGUGACCUUUAAAACAUCUAGAUGGCAUUUAAUUUAUAAUCUGAAUCUCAUGCAUUCAGCGUUUCAAUCUUUUGCUAUUUCUGCUUCAACUAGCUUAACAGUGGUUUGCCAUUAAUGAUUUAGGGAUGCAUAUGCAUGUUUUACUUUCUUUUCUAUUGAUCUUUUACCUUCUGCUCUUGCUACUUUCCUAGUUUCUUUUGUCGUUUCAAUCUUUUCCAGGAGGCUACUGAACUGAGCUUCUCUGAGCAAAUGCUCAACCAACCCCUCCACCCCUGUCCCACAGCUGUUCCCUGCUGGUCACCGCUGAUUCCUGCUUUCUAUCAUUUCAUCUCUGCACUGCCUGGGAGCACACACACACUGUUUCAUAUAUAUGAUUUAUGUAUACGGUACACAAGCAUACUGGUGGUUGGUACUGCGGGUUUACAUACAGUCUGAUCUGUAUCUUUCUGGUGCACACACACACGCUCAACACACAUAAUAACACGUGCAGAGUCUUAAGGUAACACCGACUUUGUGGCCACUGCUUCUACUUCUGCAAUUUGUUUAAUCCACCAUCCUAGUCAUUUUCCCUUUUUAAUCUCUCAUCAUAUAACACCUAAUCUUUAUUCAUUUAUGUAUUUCUGGAUUGUUCUCAUUUGGGAUGUUAUCUCUACCUUGCACAUUGUAAUAUAUGAAAGGGACUUUGAGUCUAAAAUGAUGUCCAAACUUCCUACGUGUUGUAUCUACCUGUUGGGCAGUAAUGGCUGCAUUUCAUUCUGCACAAUUAACAAAAAAUGAUCAAUUACGGAGAUUGUUUUUGACUCAAAUGUACUUUUUUAAUCAUGCUUAUGUUCUUGAUCUUAUGCUGAUUCUGCCACCAUUUGGCUGUGGUUUUUACGAACUGUUAUUUUUUUAUGCUGCACUAUGUAAUGAUAUUUCACUUAUUGCCCGACAAUACUUUUGUGUUGAGUAAGAUUUUGUUUACUGUUGUGUUUUGAGUAAGUCUUUGUAACAAAAUGGUCCUUUUGUGUUUCUUAGACGUUCUCAAGUCAUUGGCCGAUUCGAGGAAGGUCAGUCUGAAGAGCACAUGGACACAAGCGGCUCCAAUGAUCCCUCGGCUAACCCCACGCUAAUCCAGAGACAAGGCCGCAGCGAGAGGCGCUAUCUGGCGAGUAAACAUGACCUGUCCCUGGAUGCAGGAAAGGACCGUUCAGUCCCUGAUGUGUCCAGCUCCACUUUUGCUAACUUAAGAAGAGCCAAGUCUCUGGACCGCAGAGUCACCGAGUCCUCCAUGACUCCAGAUCUGCUGAACUUCAAAAAAGGAUGGAUGACAAAGCUGUACGAAGAUGGGAUGUGGAAGAAACACUGGUUUGUCCUGACUGAUCAGAAUUUGCGAUACUACAAGGACUCAAUAGCCGAGGAGGCUUCAUUAAUGGAUGGUGAGAUCGACCUCUCCACUUGUUAUGAUGUCAAAGAGUUCCCGGUCCAGAGGAACUACGGCUUCCAAAUCCUGUGUAAGGAGGGAGCGUGCACCCUGUCGGCCAUGACCUCUGGAAUCCGACGCAACUGGAUUCAGGCCAUCAUGACGAAUGUGCGACCCACUAUUGCCCCUGAUGUCACUCGGAAAAACAUCUCUCUGAAACUGUCCGUUCUGAAGCCCAGAUCCCUCCCCGAAGAGAAGGCCAACGUGAUGUUAGAGCCGUGUCCACAGGGCUCACCUGAGCUGAGCACAAGUCCUGAAGCCCCAAAGUCCUUCGUCCACACACAGACAUCUGGAAGCAACGCCUCUGGCCCUCUCUCCGAGCAACGUAAAAGCCGAGUCCGUGAGCGCAGACGAGAAGGUCGCUCCAAGACUUUUGACUGGUCCGAGUUUAAAAUGGAGCAGACAGAAAAGCGAGCAAACGAGCGAGCGGACACAGUGGACCUCACGUCAUCUUUCUCUACAACGUCCUCAUUUUGCUCUACCUCCUCUACGCCUUCCUCAUUAGCGUCCUCUCCUAUCUCUACCUCCUCCCUCCAAACCUCCUCUCUGUCAGGUGCUCACCCACCUUCUAUGACCCCAGAAGCAGAAAAGGAGAGCGUUAGGAGGGGCGUCCUCCCACAUGGCACAACCAGUGCCCCGCACAUGCCAAAUACUGUUACCGUCACUAUGACUUCCACGCUUAACACGACAUCACCAGUACCGCCAUCGAUACCUGACUGCCAUGAGCAAGGAAAGAUGGAAGUAGACCACCCAGCUGCGAUGCAUCCUGCUAGUGAAGAUAAGAAGAAAAAUAAAAACCCGGAUGUCCAUCAAGAGAUCGAGCAGCGGUGGCAUCAGGUGGAGACGACGCCGUUAAGAGGAGAGAAGCAAGUUGCCAUCAACACAGCUUCAGGAAACUCUAGUAACUCUGACAGAUUGCCGGCUGAUGAGCUUGCUGCGCUGCUAGACAAAGAGUUGGGAGAGAAGCAGCAGGAGCUGGACCGACUGCAGAAGCAAAACAAUGUUUUAAAAGAGCAGCUGGAGGAUGCACUUGGGAGGGAACACAGUGCCAGACAGGGCUAUGUGCUGCAGAGUGCAACAUCCCCUUCCUCUUCACCGCAAAGAGUGCCGUGGCAGCGCCUGCACGCGCUUAAUGAAGAUUUGCAGGGCGAGUUGGAAACCCAAAAGCAAAAGCAGGAUCUUGCUCAGCAGCAGAUUCGGACACUAAAGAGAAGCUACUCUGAAGCCCAGGAUGCGGUAGACCACCAUGAGUCUGGUAUUCAGGCUCUGCGGACUAAACUAGCAUCUGCAAUGGCCGAAAUCUUGGCGAGUGAACAGGCUGUUGCCAGAAUGCGCAAUGAGCUCAAGCUAGAGCAGAAACGUUCACAGGAACAAGAAGAUGAAUAUGGUCGCGGUGAGGCCACACUACGCGCCCAGCUAAAGGACAGUGAAGAUAGACUCCGUGAAGUAGAAGCCAGCCUCUUAGAGAGAAACCAGGCCCUCAGGCACCUGGAGCGCCAGCAGGCCCUGCAACGAGACCAUGUUAGAGAGAUUCAACGGCUCCAGGAGCGGCUGCAAGAGGUCACUGCUAGGAUAAAUGUUACCGAAGAGGGUCAAGCACUAAAGGAAGAGCGCCUGAGGAAGGAUCAGCAUAGCCUGCAAGAGAGUCAUGAGAAGGAAAGACAGAAUCUGUGUAGAAAAUUAGCUGAGGCUGAAACUGCACAGAAAGAGAUGGAGCUCCGUGUGCUAGAGGCUGAGCAGCAGGUCGAGGCCUUGUUGAGAGGCAGGCAGGCUUCUGGGGCAAAAGAAAGCAGGGAGGAAAUGCUGAAGUUGCAAGAGGAACUGGCCCUGAAGACUGACAUGGUGGAGUCACUAAGGGAGAGUGUGCGCAGGCUAGAAGAAGAGAAAGGCCAUCUCACCUGCCGCUGUCAGGAGCUUCUUAACCAGAUAGCAGAAGCAGACCGUGAGGUGAACAAGCUUCGCAAUCGUCUCGAAACAGAAGAAGCUGAUUACUACACCCUAGAGCACUCCUAUGAGAGGGCUACUCAAGAGUUUCAGAAAAUGAGCCAGUUCCUACGAGAAAAAGAGGAGGAGAUCCGGCAGACUAAGGAAAUGUACGAGAGGCUGAUGGUACGCAAGGAAGAGGAUUUGAAAGAAGCGCUUAUUAAAAUGGCUGCACUUGGCAACAGCUUGGAGGAAACUGAACAGAAGUUGCAAGCUAAGGAGGAGCUUCUUUCUCAUAUGAGUCAAAAUCUCUUGGAUAAAGUUGAACCCUGUAGUGCUGAAAAGGACCUGCAGGCCAAGCUAGUUGUUGCGGAGGAUCGCAUAGCAGAACUUGAGCAGCAUCUUAAUGCCCUGCAGCUGGGCUAUGCUGACCUACGCAUGGAAAGGCAGCAAAUCCCAGACAAGAGCAAGAAGGCAAGGCUUAAAACAUCCGCCUCCUUAGCAGCAAACACAGAUCUCUUACUUACCUAUGACAAUUCAUCCAAGACGGAGAACUCCCAAGAUGAUAAGGAGUCUCAAGCUAAGAGACCAAGGAUACGUUUUUCCACAAUUCAGUGCCAGAAAUACAUAAGUCUCGAGGGCAUGGACACUAUCAAUGCGAGCACUGCGUUUGCAGACACAACACAAAAUGUAAACGAGGAUGUUAAGGAAGAUACUGAUUUUACUAAAGGGAACAUCUCUGAUAUUACUUUCUCUCACAGUAGUGACCCAGAGAAGUUCAUUUCUAUCAUACACGCCCUAGAGACUAAGCUGCUAGCCACCGAGGAUACACUCAGAAACCUCACACAAAAUGUAGGAGAGCAAUCCAACCAAGCAGAAGACGCGUCUAAGAAUGAUCUAAAGAUGACAGACACAAAUCCUAACCCCAAUAAGGAGUUUAGUAAUGGAAGUGGGACACAGAGUAGUGCUAUCAAUAAGCAUUAUGCCAAGGCCCUGUUGUGUGUGGAAAGCAGUCGAGAGAAAGUCAGGACUAUUCUUAAUGGCUCUCAUGUUACCACCGGUUCGCAGCUGCACUCAUUGUCAGAGAUAGAGAACCAUUUGUUCAAUGCAUCACUGUUCAUCAGACAAGGACAAACGACUGAGGAGCAAUCACCAGUUGUCCAUACGAAUACAACCCCAGAGACUCUAGAUAAAGAAGCUUUGCACCUCUUUGCCAAAACGUUAUCGUUUGAGGCGGUUGUUCUGAAUAAAAUGGCUUUGUUAUUACAGACAUCAAAGUCUGACCUCCUACAAUCUCUUGCCGAGAUAUGGGAAGACUUGGAGAACAUUCAAAGAGGUGACAAAGAGUGCUUGGCUAUAGUGUAUGCUGAUGUCUUGACCAGGAAGUUGAUGUUAGAAAGUUCAUUCUGGAAAGAGUUGGAGAAAGCUGAGACGGAUGUUGCUAAAUCCAAAGAGGAAAGUGUUUCAGCUGAUGUAGAUGUUGAUUCCACCGUUAUCUUUAACACUUUAAUUAAAGCUGAGCUAGCCUACUCUGUUCAAAACCUUAAAAUGUGCUAUGAAGAGAAAUUCAAAAUAGUGAAAAGGGAGAUAACUGAGGCUCAUGAUAACCUGCAUCAAAGGGAAAUGGCCUUGAAAACAAUUAUUGAAGCUUCCAAAAGGCCUGAUUUGAUCAAUGUAAUAAAAGAAGUCAAAAAUAACUUUGAGUUUGGUGAACAAAAGUUAGCAGACAUUUCCCCCCCUGAACUAGCGCCCUACAUGGAGCAAAUUGAAAUGGAAGAGGCUAGAGACUUGGCUGAGGAAGUCGUAGACAGACAUUUGACUAGAGAAAUGCCCUCUUGUGGUAUUAAUUAUAUUGAAUCGCUGCAACAUGCACAUGACAACUUGGCCAAUGAGCUUCAAAGACAAGCAAAAAUCCUCCAUAAGUUUGCUCAAGAGAUAGAAAAUGGUGGAAACCAUCCUAGACUGGCUAAAAUGAUCCACGGUCUUCUGGGCCACCAAACAUCACGUGGUUUAACAAGUACCUCUGUCUGUAUGCGCGACGCCCUAAUCCAGGCUCAGGUAGCUUAUGUGGCAUGCAGGUUACAGGCCAUGCAUGAACAAGACUUGGGCUGGUGCAAACAGACAGGUCAAAACAUGGAUGCUCUUGUCCAACAGCACGCCCGAAAAGUCAACGCAAUCCAAGAAAAUUAUGAAGCAUCAUUAAAGGAGGAACGCUUGAACCUAACACAAGCAGUUUCCACUCUCACGAAGGAGAACCAUACGCUUAAGAGUGAGAUCAGCAAACGUGUGAACCAGCUUUCACAGCAGCAGGACCAACUGGCUCUCCUGGAGGAACGUUUCCAGAAGGACACUGAAGAGCUAAAACAGAGGCAUAAGCACGAGCUAAGCCAAGCUGAGAAAGGCCGUGCCUCCACAGAGAUGGCCCUCAUGGACACCACAGCUGACAGUCAGCAAAAGCUAGAAGUCUUGCUGGUGGACAUGGAAACCAUGGAGGGGCGGCACGAGGGUCACGUGAGGAAACUGGAAGAGCGGUUUGAACAGCGGAUCUGUGAGCUCCAGCAAAUCCACAAAGAGGAGAUGGAAAAGUUACAUUCCCAGUAUAUGGAAAACGUUCAAUGUAUCCAACAGCACAAUAAAGGUCUUGAGGUUUCCCGCUCGCCUCCUUGUGAUGAGGCCCCUACGCCAAUGGAUGAGGAGGAGCAGGGGAAGGGGGAGGAUGCACAUACCAGGUCAGAGGUGGACUCCAUGCUGGUUCUGAAGGACCGGAUCCAGGAGCUGGAGGCUCAGAUGAGCACCAUGAAGGACGAACUGGAGAAUAAGCACCUAGAAGGAGAUGUGGCCAGCCUGAGAGAGAAAUACCAGAGAGACUUUGAGAGUCUUAAGGCUACGUGUGAACGUGGCUUUGCAACAAUGGAAGACACACACCACAAGGUAAUAAAUGACCUCCACAGGCAGCAUCAGAGGGAGAUCGCAAAGCUUAUGGAAGAGAGAGAGAGACUUUUGGCUGAGGAGACUGCUGCCACAAUUGCUGCUAUUGAAGCAAUGAAGAAUGCACACAAGGAGGAACUGAACAAGACCCAUCGUUCCCAACUGAGCGGACUGAACGCUGACAUUGAUGAACUGCGCUUACAAUACGAGGAGGAGCUGCAGUCGAUCCACAGAGAACUGGAGGUGCUGUCGGAGCAGUACUCGCAGAAAUGUCUGGAGAACGCUCACCUGGCCCAGGCCCUGGAGGCCGAGAGGCAGGCCCUCAGGCAGUGUCAGAGAGAGAACCAGGAGCUCAACGCUCACAACCAGGAACUAAACAACCGACUGACUACAGAGAUCACUCGGAUGCGCUCUUGCUUCAGUGGAGAAACAGCAAUGUCACCACUUACCCAGGGAAAAGAUGUGUAUGAACUUGAGGUGUUGCUACGAAUUAAGGAGUCAGAGAUCCAGUAUCUUAAGCAGGAGAUCCACUCUUUGAAAGAUGAACUGCAGUCUGCUUUAAGGGACAAGAAGUAUGCCACAGAAAAAUACAAAGACAUCUACACAGAGCUCAGCAUUGUGAAAGCAAAGGCUGACUGCGACAUCAGCAAACUGAAGGAGAAGCUGCUCAUUGCAACAGAAGCUUUAGGAGAGAGGAACGUCGAUGGAACAGUCACACCUGGAUACGAUAUCAUGAAAUCAAAAAGUAAUCCAGAAUUCCUGAAAAAGGAACGAUCAAACGCCGCCAAGCAAUCAAGAGGCCUAAGGUCAAAGUCUGUCAUUGAACAGGCAUCAUGGGAUAGCUGACACUCCCAUUGUGGGGUGAUUCCCCCCCCAACCCCCGCCCCAAGAUGUUCUAGCCUGAAAGAGGGACUUACGGUGCAGGAGCGUAUGAAGCUUUUUGAGGCAAAAGAUUCCAAAAAGAUUUAAAUUUGUAAGAAUCUGCAGUUUCAGUUUUUCUUCCUGACCUCAGUUUUCGGUCAGAUGGUACGGCCAUGCCAGCAUUUGCUGAAGACUUGUAUAGGAAAUGGAAAAAAAUCUGUCACGGUCAAAACCAAGACCUGCUGCUUCCAUCCUUCUUAUUAGUGGUCAUAUUUUUGUUAGAUUUUUUUUUUAGGUGAAAAACUUUUAUUGAAUCAAUCCUGUGUCAUUUUUCUUUUUAAGAAUCCAUAGACGUAUAAUCUGUCCAACAUGGAGAUGUGUCAAAUAAGCUGUGAGAGGAAUACAUGACAGCCUUUUUAUUGAUCCUCUAUAAUGCCAAAACGACAGCAAUACACAGUAUAAAUAAUAUAUAUUUCCCAAUAUGAAUUAAGUAUCUGCUGUAUUUUAUUAUUGUUACAGUUUCUAUAUCUAAUAAUUUUGUAUGGGUUUAAUGUUGCACCAGUUCUGUUGUACAUAACUACUGGAUAUAUGUUAGAGUAAGGUUUGCUAUUGAUUGUUGGGGCAUCUGCUGUACUAUAACUAUGGUUUGAUUGAUAGUGGAAAACAAUGUGAUGCUAACUUGCUUAUGUAUGAGAGUUUUAUAAAAAUGGAGUGUCUUUGUGUGAAGGGGGAUAUAGAGGGGUGGGAUUGCACUUAUCACUUGACUACUUGAGGAAGCUUUGUUUUAUUUGUCUCAACCUGGUGUAGUGACUUCAAGUCAUGUAUUGCAGUGCAACCAAACACCCUAACUUCUGUCAAAUGUAGUGGAAAACCGUGACUUGUUAGUGAUACUGGACUUUUUUUUCUUUGAACCUGGAUUUGUGUUUGCUCAGUUUUGAUUAGCGUGAAAAUAUCAUCUCAGAAAACAGGAACUAUUUAGGACGUUGCAUGACUGUACAGUACCUUUUUGAAUUGCAGAAUGGUCAUGUUGCCUCUUUUUCCUACUUUUUUGCUUCAGUGUGGAACUCUUUAACACUACUAAGCUUUGCUUUGCAAGUCCUACUGUUUAGGUGUUGAGAUUGAAAUGUUUUACUGUAAGCGGCAGUCUUGAAGCACUCGGCCCAAUCCCUGACCUCUCACUGAAAUAGUCGUGCCUCAACUGAGUGAA